UACAGAGGUCUCAAGCGUUGUUCGGAUUCAUUGGGCGUAAAGGGUGCGUAGGCGGCGCGGCAAGUCGGGUGUGAAAUCUCGGAGCUUAACUCCGAAACUGCAUUCGAUACUGCCGUGCUUGAGGACUGGAGAGGAGACUGGAAUUUACGGUGUAGCGGUGAAAUGCGUAGAUAUCGUAAGGAAGACCAGUGGCGAAGGCGGGUCUCUGGACAGUUCCUGACGCUGAGGCACGAAGGUCAGGGGAGCAAACGGG
Molecule: ribosomal RNA, 253 nt
Filed under: uncultured bacterium
Lineage: Bacteria
Description: partial 16S ribosomal RNA
Rfam family: Bacterial small subunit ribosomal RNA
Source: RNAcentral